This 4681-nucleotide long non-coding RNA is filed under the name Phocoena sinus (vaquita). RNAcentral describes it as "lncRNA (ENSPSNG00000001157.1)". Lineage: Eukaryota; Metazoa; Chordata; Mammalia; Artiodactyla; Phocoenidae. The record is from RNAcentral.
GCUUUCCUGCCGAGAGUGUUGAGGAAAAUGAAAGUGGCGGUGUCCAACAGCCGGCGUAUCAGCCGUCGGGGCGAGGGGCGCAGGGUGCGGGUCGGUGGGCCUGGGGCUAGCGAGCAGAGGCCACAGCCCGCGCCCGGCGAGAUGGCAGCAGGCCCUGGACUUCCCUGCACUGCAGGCCAUCGUGAGGCCACAGAGAAACAAGAAAAUGGACUCCCUCCUUCUGAGGACAAGAAUGCCAGCCACCAGCCAUGGGUGAGCUUAGAGGUUGACCAGAGUUUUUCUCUUAUUUGUUCUACAUUAUUUGGUUUUUGUGUGUGUGUGUGUGUAAGAAUUGGUGCAAAUCACACGUUUGAUGUUGAGGUAGUUUGUUGAUUUUCACAGUUUGUUUAUAAAAACAAAAAAACAAUAGCAGUGAAACCAGAAGUAUUACUAGAAUGUUGCAGAGGGGAUGCAGGGCAAGGGGGCCAUCCUCUGCAGUGUGAGUGUGGUGUCCCUUCCCUUCUGCUCCUUGGGCCUGUCCCCUUUUGUCAUCCUAGGAGGUGGUACCCACCCAGACAGUCCCUUUAAUUCAACAAGUGUGUGGUAAGCCAGAAAUAUGAGGUGUUCUUUGCGUGGACUUCAUUGGCCUUCUUCCAGUUGCUCAUAGGGUGGACUGUUCAUGUACUGCUGGAGAGCCAUCCCUGGCCCAGCAGGCCCAGGGUUUCUGUCUGCUUGCCAUGACUUUGCAGCCCUCUUGGAGGGCUUCUGCAUCUGAUCUUCCCUUUCAUCCCACAGCUGGUAAUUUCACAGCUCUAGUUUAUUGAUCCUAAGACUCCCCAUUUAGUGUUGUAAUCUGAGCAGUUUGAGUGGAGAUUGUUUAUAUUCUGUUUCCACCCUAUUUGUUAGCUUUACCCUCAAUAGACACUAAUUCUAAGUUUUAUAUUUGGGAAUAAGGGUACUUUCUGUCCUUAACGCUAAGGGCAACUACACCACUUAUUGGCAUUCUAACGAAGGGUCUAGCAAAAGCCUUCCUUGAUUAUCAGCAUCUUCUUGGUUUGGUGGUGUCCUUCCCUUACCUGCAACCCUUUAGGGCCCUGCCUGACAAAGUUUCUCUGACACCUUCCCUCAGUGUCGCAAGUCUUUCUUUGCGAGGAACUUGAUGAUCCCCACCUUCACCCAGCCUGUGCCAGCUUUGCCACAAGCCUCUGUGCGUUAGGCACCAUGCUCCACAGUUUACAUCUUAUUCAAUCUCCACAAAAACUUGGUCAAAUAAUUCUUUUGUUACAAAUAUGGAAACCAAGACUCAGAGAUUAGAUUACUCACAGAGCUAAAAUGUAGCAAGCCAGAGGGGCAGCCCAAGGUCUCUGUAGCUCUUGCCUCUUAUCAGAAAAUUAGGCUGACCACCUAUGGGUAGAAGAUGAAUUAUAUUUGUUCUUAUAGACUGAAAAAGGAACAAAGUGAAAUUAAUGGGAAACCACGUUAUAAUUCCCAAACAACCCCCAUCUCUAAAUUUACUAUCCUAAUUUUACACAGUAUUAUUUUUCUUUCUUAUUUUAUUUAACCUGAAUUGUUGGCACACACUGGUAAAAUUUGCCUUUAUUACUGUUUGCCUUAUGUGCAUCAUUAUGUGUACCACUUGACGCAAGGUAGUUUAAUUGUUCAUUUGAAGAACCUGUAACCUCCAUAAAUUGGAAAAGUUUGAUUUCAAAAAUUUGAAAACUCUUCUCUGUACCCAGGAGGUUCAGUGACUUGUUUGAGGAUGAAGACACUGACAAACCCUAAACUCCCUGAGCAUAACUCUGUCUCAGCCUAGUUCUAGUAACUGAGGCAACCCAAGUCUAAAUUGUCAAAAUCAACUGUUUUAUAAACCAGGUCACUCAUAAGUACCUGCUGAUACCUGAAUGUUUUAAAAUAUUACAGUUAAAACUGCGGUCAGUGAAAGAAAAGCUGUCCUUUGUUCUGUGGGACCUUUCUGAGCACUGCUUUGGGGCACUGAUUCUCAGGCCACUCAGGACAAAUAGCCUCAAGGAUGCAUUAACUCUGGAUGUUUCAAACUAAUAGACUUAUACAAUAGUCAGUCUCACAAGCAACAGUCACUAAUUUGAGAUUGUGGGGUAUUUUUUCCCGUGUCCUCUUUUUAAAAAAAAUUUACUGAAGUAUAGUUGAUUUAAAAUGUUGUGUUAAUUUCUGCUAUACAGCAAAGUACAGCAAUGUAUUCAGUUAUACAUAUAUAUAUUCUUUUCCAUUAUGGUUUAUCACAGGAUAUUGAAUAUAGUUCCCUGUGCUAUACAGUAGGACCUUGUUGUUAGUACACUUUAUAUAUAAUAGUUUGCAUCUGCUAAUCCCAAACUCCCAAUCGUUCCCUCUCCCAUCCCCCCUUCACCUUGGCAACCACAAGUCUGUUUUCUAUGACUGUGAAUCUGUUUCUGUUUCGUAGAUAUGUUCAUUUGUGUCGUACUUCAUUUUAUUUUUUUAAAUAAGGUUUAUUUUAUUUUUAAUUAAUUUAUUUUUGGCUGCAUUAGGUCUUCAUUGCUGCGUGCAGGUUUUCUCUAGUUGUGGCAAGCAGGGCUACUCUUCAUUGCGGUGUAUGGGUUUCUCAUUGUGGUAGCUUCUCUUGUUGCGGAGCACGGGCUGUAGGUGUGCGGGCUUCAGUAGUUGUGGCACAUGGGCUCAGUGGUUGUGGCUCACGGGUUCUAGAAUGUAGGAUCAGUAGUUGUGGCACACAGGCUUAGUUGCUCUGUGGCAUGUGGGAUCUUCCUGGACUAGGGCUCAAACCCAUGUCCCCUGCAUUGGCAGGUGGAUUCCUAACCACUGUGCCACCACGGAAGCCCUGUGUCGUAUUUUACAUUCCACAUGUGGGUGAUAUUAUAUGGUAUUUGUCUUUCUCUUUCUGACUUACUUAGUAUGAUAAUCUCUAGGUCCAUCCAUGUUGCAAGUGGCAUUAUUUUAUUCUUUAUGGCUGAGUAAUACUCCAUUGAAUAUACAUACUACAUGUUCUUUAUCCAUUCAUCUGUUGAUGGACAUUUAGGUUGCUUCCAUGUCUUGGCUAUUGUGAAUAGUGCUGCUAUGAAUAUAUGGGUGCAUAUAUUUUUCGAAUUAUAGUUUUGUCUGGGCAUAUGCCAAGGAAUGGGAUUGCUGGAUCAUAUGCCAACUCUGUUUUAGUUUUUUGAGGAAUCUCCAUACUGUUUUCCAUAGUGGCUGCACCAAUUUACAUUCCCACCAACUGUGUAGGAGGGUUCCCUUUUCUACGCCCCCAUCUUCAGCAUUUGUUAUUUGUAGACUUUUUAAUGAUGGCCAUUCUGACCAGUGUGAGGUGGUACCUCAUGGUAGUUUUGAUUUACAUUUCUCUAAUAAUUAGCGAUGAUCAGCAUCUUUUCAUGUGCCUAUUGGUCAUGUGUAUGUCUUCUUUGGAGAAAUAUCUAUUUAGGUUUUCUGCCCAGUUUUCAAUUGUGUUGUUAAUUUUUCUUUGUUAUUGAGUUGUAUGAGCUGUUUAUAAAUUUUGGAAAUUAAGCUCUUGUCGGUCGCAUCAUUUGCGAAUAUUUUCUCCCAGUCCAUAGGUCAUCUUUUUGUUUUGCUUAUGGUUUCCUUGCUGUGCAAAAGCUUAUGUUUGAUUAGGUCCCAUUUGUUUAUUUGUGCUUUUAUUUCUGUUGCCUUGGGAGACGUAUGAAAACAUCAGUACGAUCUAUGUCAGAGAAUCUUUUGCCUGUGUUCUCUUCUAGGAGUUUUAUGGUGUCAUGUCUUAUAUUUAGGUCAUGUCCUCUUUUUUUUAAAACAGCUUUAUUGAGAUAUAUUUCUUAUACCAUGCAAUUCCAUUUAAAAUGUACAAUUCACUGGUUUUUAGGCUGUUCACAGGAUUGUGCAUUCAUCACCAGAGUCAAUUUAGAACAUUUUCAUUACCCCGAAAAGAAACUGUACCCCUAAAUUAUCACCUCUCCAAUCUCCCCAUUUCCCCAGCCCCUGGCAACCACUAAUUUACUUUGUUUCCCUAUAGAUUUGCCUAUCCUGGAUCAUAUAAAUAGAACCAUACAAUAUGUGGCCUUUUGUGUCUAGCUUCUUGCACUUAGCAUGAUGUUUUCAAGGUACAUCUAUGUUGUAGCAUGUGUCAGUACUCUAUUCCUAUUCUUUGCCAAAUAAUAUUCCAUUAUAUGGAAAUACCACAUUUUGUUUAUUCAUUCAUCAUUUGAUGGACAUUUGUGUUAUUUCACUGUUUUAGCUAUUACGAAAAAUGCUGCAAUGAGCAUUUUUGUGUACAGGUUUUGUGUGGACUGUGUUUUAUGACUCUGUAAGCUGUAGUGACCAAGUCCUGUUUUUAAAAAUCUGAGAAAGGAAGAGAACUAAGUUGGUGUUUGAAAUUUAAAGGGACAGUUUCUAUGUGUAGAUGUAGAACUGCAUUCAAAAAGAUUAUCUAUCUAAUAUGAGGUUAAAAUCAAAUGGUAGUAGAUCUAAUUCUUCUCCAUAUCACUUGAGUUUUCUAAGCUCUUUCUUUUAAUAUUCUUGCUUAAAAAAACACAAGAGGGCUUCCCUGGUGGCGCAGUGGUUGAGAGUCCGCCUGCCGAUUCAGGGGACACGGGUUCGUGCCCUGGUCCAGGAAGAUCCCACGUGCCACAGAGCAGCUGGACCCGUGAGCCAUGGCCGAGCUGCACAUCUGGAGCCUGUGCUCUGCAACGGGAGAGGCCACAACAGUGAGAGGCCCGCGUACCGC